RNAcentral lists this transfer RNA (81 nucleotides) under Candidatus Melainabacteria bacterium HGW-Melainabacteria-1. RNAcentral's name for it is "tRNA-Leu". It matches the Rfam family "tRNA". From Rfam's summary of the family: Transfer RNA (tRNA) molecules are approximately 80 nucleotides in length. Lineage: Bacteria; Bacillati; Candidatus Melainabacteria. The record is from RNAcentral.
GCGGGUGUGGCGGAAUGGCAGACGCGCCAGACUUAGGAUCUGGUGCCGUAAGGCGUGGAGGUUCAAGUCCUCUCACCCGCA